Molecule: ribosomal RNA, 598 nt
Filed under: uncultured archaeon
Lineage: Archaea
Description: SSU rRNA
Rfam family: Archaeal small subunit ribosomal RNA
Source: RNAcentral
CUGGUUGAUCCUGCCAGUAGGCACCGCUAUUGGCUUUCGCUUAAGCCAUGCGAGUCCAGAGUGGUCAAGCACUCGGCGCACGGCUCAGUAACACGCGGUCAACCUGCCCUCAAGUGGAGAAUAAGCUCGGGAAACUGAGGAUAAUGCUCCAUAGCCCACCUAUGCUGGAAGGCUUGGUGGGCCAAAGCUCCGGCGCUUGAGGAUGGGACUGCGGCCUAUCAGGUUGUAGUGGGGGUAACGGCCUCACUAGCCUACAACGGGUACGGGCGUUGGGAGACGUCGCCCGGAGAUGGAUUCUGAGACACGAAUCCAGGCCCUACGGGGCGCAGCAGGCGCGAAAACUUCGCAAUGGGGGAAACCCCGACGAGGGAAAGCCAAGUGCCAGCACAAUGUGCUGGCUGUUUCCUGUCUAAAAAACAGGGAGAGUAAGGGCUGGGUAAGACGGGUGCCAGCCGCCGCGGUAAUACCUGCAGCCCGAGUGGUGCUCGUUAUUAUUGGGUCUAAAACGUCCGUAGUCGGUUGAGUAGAUGCCCGGGUAAAUCGCAGCGCUUAACGUUGCGAAUUCCCGGUAGACCGCUCGACUAGGGAUUGGGAGAGG